Molecule: microRNA precursor, 93 nt
Filed under: Podarcis lilfordi (Lilford's wall lizard)
Lineage: Eukaryota; Metazoa; Chordata; Lepidosauria; Squamata; Lacertidae
Description: mir-1388 microRNA precursor family
Rfam family: mir-1388 microRNA precursor family
Source: Rfam by way of RNAcentral
AGGUGAGGGGUGUGUCAAGGACUGUCUAACCUGAGAAUGGUGAAACGUGAAGGUCAAUCUCAGGUCUGUCAGCCCAUGAGACGCUUCCUCCAG